CAGCACUUUGGGAGGCUGAGGUGGGAGGAUCACUUGAGUCCAGGAAUUCAAGACCAGCCUGGGCAACGUAGUGAGAUCCUGUCUGUAAAAAAAAAUUACUAUUGAAAUGAGGUUUCUGUCACUCAGGCUGAAGUGCAGUGGUCCAAUCAUGCUUACUGCCACCUCAGCCUCCUGGGCUCAAGUGCUUCUCCCACCUCAGCCUCCUGAGUAGCUGGGACCACAGGCAUGUACCGCCACCACUGGCUGACUUUUAAAAUUUUAUUUGUAGAGCCAGGCACUGUGGCUCAUGCCUGGAAUCCCAGCACUUUGGGAGGGUGAGGCUGGUGGAUCACUUAAGGUCAGGAGUUCAUGACCAGCCUAGCCACUACGGUGAACCCUGUCUCUACUAAAAAUAGAAAAAUUAGCUGGGUGUGGUGGUGCACACCUGUAAUCCCAGCUACUAGGGAGGCUGAAGUAGGAGAAUCACUUGACCCAGGAGAUGGAGGUGGCAGUGAGCCAAGAUCGUGCCACUGUACUCCAGCCUGGGCAACAGGGCAAGACUCUGUCUCAAAAAAAAAAAAAAAAAAAAUGUGUAGCGAUGGAGUUUUGCUGUGUUGCUCAGGCUAGUCUCAAACUCCUGAACUCAAGUGAUCCUCCCACCUUGGCCUCCCAACGUGCUGGGAUUACAGGUUUAAGCCACUGUGCCUGGCCUUAAAAAUUGUUAACUAUUAAAAAUUACUAUAUAAGCUGGGUGCGGUGGCUCAUACCUACAUUUCCUACUACUAGGGAGGCUAAGGUGGAAGGAUCCCUUGAGCUCAGGAGUAUGAGGCUGCAGUGAGCGACGAUUGUGACCCUGCACCCCCAUUGCACUCCAGCCUGGGCAACAGAGUGAGACUUCAUCUUUAAAAAACCCACUAUAUAAGUAUAUUAAAUUAAUAAUUAACAUAGAACUUAAAAGUGAAUUAAAAAUAAGAAUAAUGCUCUUAAAUUGAUUAUUUUUUUAUGUCCUAAAGAUUUGCUUAGUGCAUUCAACAAUAACAUGAUCUGGAGAAAGGCCCCAUUUUGGAUUCUACAAGGUCUGAAUUAUAGUCUCUUCCUUGCCACUAACGAGCUGACUUUGAGAAAAUCCUCUUCACACUUUCAUCAUCUGUCAAAAAGAGAUAAUAAUUCUGAUUACUUCCAUAAUAGCAUUUCUAGUGAUAGACGUGGAGACUAGGAGAGAAUAUACCAAAUUGCAAUGUAUCCAAGUACUCUGAGAGACCAACUCCUACAGAUCCAGGAAGGGUGCCAUUCCCUCUAAGGACACUACUGAUAAGAUCUGGCCCACCCAGGAUCAUCUUUCUAUCUUCAAGUGAACUGAUUUGGGACAUUAUUCACAUCUACAAAAUCCCUUCACAGGAGCACCUAAGUUUCGUGUUUGAACAGCUGGAAAAAGAUUCUAUGUAAAUUAUUGAUUCCUCUGGAAAAGCCUCCUCAAUUUUCCGGAUUAGUCCAUCUCCAUUUGACUUGACUCAAGUUUCUACCUCCACUAUGUCACUGAAACUGCGUGGUACAUUACCGAAGACCAAAGACCAAAUCCAUGACCAUUUACUCAUCUUUCAAGACUCAGAAGCCAGCUCUGGUACCAAGCCUUUUCUGAUCUCCCAGAUGAAUAACCAACUCAAGGAGAUGAGGACAUUGGCCAAAGCCACACAACUAGUACAACCUACCAGUACUGGUCAAGACAUGGUUAAAAAGCAGCACCAGGUGGUCAAUUAAGUUUCAGUUAUCAUCGAGGAGGUGUUUACAAGCACAAGAGAUAGGAUCUCACUCUGUCACCCAGGCUGGAGUGCAGUGGCAUGAUUGAACUCCUGGGCUCAAGUGAUCCUCUGCCUCAAACUUCUGAGUAGCUGGGACUACAGGUGUGUUCCACCAUGCCGAGGUAAUUGUUUAUAUUUUCUUAAAGAUGUGGUCUUGCUCAGUUGCCCAAGCUAGUCUGAAACUUUUGGCCUCAAGUGAUCCUCU
Molecule: long non-coding RNA, 1983 nt
Organism: Callithrix jacchus (white-tufted-ear marmoset)
Lineage: Eukaryota; Metazoa; Chordata; Mammalia; Primates; Cebidae
Source: RefSeq, a predicted model, not a curated record